UGGGUUAGUCGGGUCCUAAGCUGAGGCCGACAGGCGUAGGCGAUGGAUAACAGGUUGAUAUUCCUGUACCACCUAUAAUCGUUUUAAUCGAUGGGGGGGACGCAGUAGGAUAGGCGAAGCGUGCGAUUGGAUUGCACGUCUAAGCAGUAAGGCUGAGUAUUAGGCAAAUCCGGUACUCAUUAAGGCUGAGCUGUGAUGGGGAGAAGACAUUGUGUCUUCGAGUCGUUGAUUUCACACUGCCGAGAAAAGCCUCUAGAUAGAAAAUAGGUGCCCGUACC
Molecule: ribosomal RNA, 278 nt
Filed under: Staphylococcus aureus S1
Lineage: Bacteria; Bacillati; Bacillota; Bacilli; Caryophanales; Staphylococcaceae
Description: partial 23S ribosomal RNA
Rfam family: Bacterial large subunit ribosomal RNA
Source: RNAcentral